Long non-coding RNA from Musca domestica (house fly), 752 nucleotides. RefSeq lists it as uncharacterized. NCBI's taxonomy places the organism in Eukaryota, Metazoa, Arthropoda, Insecta, Diptera, Muscidae. The transcript is spliced from 3 exons. The record is from RefSeq and is a predicted model, not a curated record.
AGAAUCGUUUCCCUAGGAUACAAUCGCUAAUGUGCUGUAAGAGGUGCCGUUUUAACGUACCAAUUCAGUUAAAUACAACUCUGAAUGUGCUUCGGCGAACAGUCAAUCACACUGGAGUUGUGCAAGUUCACCUUAAGUGUAGACUACAAUACGAAUACAGUUUCAUGUCUGAAACGAUAAGACCAGCGAAGAUUUACAAAGCCGGAAGAUAUCUUGUAAUUACGGAACUCUACAAAAAACACAAACUAGUUCUUUUCAGGGAGUGGUUAAAUAGAAUGGAUUGUACAUAAGAACAACCCUUUGCUUCUAACGUUGAAGAUCUCAAACGUUACCAUUACAGAGAAUUUCCAUUGCCCCAGGUGAGGGACAACGACCAUUAGAUAUGCUCUUGGAUGAGGAUUCUGAUAAACUGUCAUAUCCGUCAAUAUACUGCGGUGUUAAAAAAAUGCACUGCUACUAUUGGAAAAAUUAUUAAGUCUGAAGUUCGGCGUUAUGACAGACGGUGUGCACGUGUGGAAAAAGUUUUAUAUUGCUGCUACAUGCUUGAGAAAAAAAAGAUGGAAAUAGACAAUUUACUGCUGCUGAAACUUGAGGUGAUCAACUCAUCCAAAACCUUGAGCAACAUGACGAUGGCUAUCAUAUAUUGAAAGUCACCAGCAUUGGGAAGGGGAAAGGAGAAAUGUUUUGGCCAUGAUUGUUUGGACUCCCUACAAUUUUAAACCUUAAUCCGCAGCUGAAUCCCAAUGGCUUGA